CGCUCGCCACUGCCCUUAUGAUCUAGCGUUGGUCGGCUAGUCGUGAGUGCCAGCAACCACUUUGUUAUCGGCUUGAGUUUCUGGCAUUUGGGCUUCCAGUGGCAGCUUUGUCCGGUUUUUGGUCAUUUCAGGCAGUAAAGGAAGAGUGAAGAAUUCCAGCAGCCAACAGCCCUUAACGGCAGCCCUCAUUCCAGCAUUUCUUUGUUCCAGCAGCAAUCAACCUAAAUGGGGCAGUAACUCUUCAAUUCCAGCAUCUUCUUGUUCUUGAAUAAAGCUGUGGAACUUGAGGACCUUGACGCGAGACGAGUAUCUCGGAGUCAGAUUGGACCUUUCUAUUUUCGGAGGC
Molecule: long non-coding RNA, 346 nt
Organism: Zingiber officinale
Lineage: Eukaryota; Viridiplantae; Streptophyta; Magnoliopsida; Zingiberales; Zingiberaceae
Exons: 3
Source: RefSeq, a predicted model, not a curated record